Non-coding RNA from Didymella sp. IMI 355093, 86 nucleotides. The record is from the annotation of a GenBank genome assembly. NCBI's taxonomy places the organism in Eukaryota, Fungi, Ascomycota, Dothideomycetes, Pleosporales, Didymellaceae.
UCCAAUCAGUCUAGUGGUCAUGAUUUCCGCUUGUCAUCGCAAGAUAACGAGCGCGGGAGACCGGGGUUCGAUUCCCCGUCGGAGAG